RNAcentral lists this ribosomal RNA (374 nucleotides) under uncultured bacterium. RNAcentral describes it as "bacterial SSU rRNA". It matches the Rfam family "Bacterial small subunit ribosomal RNA", at positions 509 to 881 of the family's 1533-position model. The record is from RNAcentral.
CAGCAGCCGCGGUAAUACGUAGGGUGCAAGCGUUGUCCGGAAUUACUGGGCGUAAAGAGUUCGUAGGCGGUUUGUCGCGUCGUUUGUGAAAACCAGCAGCUCAACUGCUGGCUUGCAGGCGAUACGGGCAGACUUGAGUACUGCAGGGGAGACUGGAAUUUCUGGUGUAGCGGUGAAAUGCGCAGAUAUCAGGAGGAACACCGGUGGCGAAGGCGGGUCUCUGGGCAGUAACUGACGCUGAGGAACGAAAGCGUGGGUAGCGAACAGGAUUAGAUACCCUGGUAGUCCACGCCGUANACGGUGGGCGCUAGGUGUGGGUUCCUUCCACGGAAUCCGUGCCGUAGCUAACGCAUUAAGUACUCCGCCUGGGGAGU